GACUAAACUGUCUCUUACGGAUAUUCAAUGAAAUUGAUCUUUCAGUCCAAAAGCUGAGAUACCUACACCAGACGAGAAGACCCUGUGGAGCUUCCUAAACCAAUAUCAACCCCUAUGGUUAUGCGGUUUUUAGUUGGGGCGACUUCGGAGAACAAAAAAACCUCCAACUUGNAAAUUUUCCUAAUUAAGAUCUACACAUCUAAAUAUACAACUUGACCCAGUAGGCAUUAUCCCUAUCUGACCAAGGAACCAAGUUACCCCAGGGAUAACAGCGCUAUCCUCUUUUAGAGUCCCUAUCGACAAGAGGGCUUACGACCUCGAUGU
Molecule: ribosomal RNA, 324 nt
Filed under: Ophisops elegans (snake-eyed lizard)
Lineage: Eukaryota; Metazoa; Chordata; Lepidosauria; Squamata; Lacertidae
Description: partial 16S ribosomal RNA
Rfam family: Bacterial large subunit ribosomal RNA
Source: RNAcentral